UGCUGCAGUUCCCGCCGCCGACGAGGCUCCUACCAAGGUACGUUUAAAUAAAGUAAAUCUGCUCCUCCGCAGCUCGGUCUCCCCCUCAUCCUCUUCCACCUCGCCAUCCUCGCGCCACCCUCCAGAUCUGUGCUCGGUCUCCCCCUCCUCUUCCACCUCGCCUUCCUCGCGCCACCCCCCAGAUCUGUGCUACUCCGACCCGCAUCCACCGUGUCCCGCCUCCGCCUCCUCCUCUACUAUGCAGCCAUCGCAUCCGCCGAUCCAGACAGGUCUUCUUGCGGCGUUGUCGCGUCGACUUCGUCUCCACCGGGAUCCCGACUUGGAGCUCCAUCUUCUUCCCCCAGCGACGGCAACAACCUUAUUCUUCGGUCGCUUGGCGCAUGCUUCAUCACCGGCUUCGUCGCCCCACCCUCAACCGACGCUUGGCGCGGCCUUCCACCUGGGUGUAUGCGUCUUCGGCGCCUCUACGACCCCCCACCGGCGAAUUCGUCGUCGUCAACGCCUUCGUUAUAGCUGUCGUGCUUAUCCGGUCUUUGGACCCAGAUGUAAUUUGGUCUUCCUUGGAGGACCUUUCUGUAAAAUG
Molecule: long non-coding RNA, 583 nt
Filed under: Sorghum bicolor (sorghum)
Lineage: Eukaryota; Viridiplantae; Streptophyta; Magnoliopsida; Poales; Poaceae
Description: long non-coding RNA (SBIC_LNC004200)
Source: RNAcentral